GCAUCGAUGAAGAACGCAGCGAAACGCGAUAGGUAAUGUGAAUUGCAGAAUUCCGUGAAUCAUCGAAUCUUUGAACGCACCUUGCGCUCCAUGGCAUUCCGUGGAGCAUGCCUGUCUGAGUGCCGCGAAAUCUCCCACCCCUAGCGGUUGCCGCAAGGCGCCGCCGGGCGGCGGGGUUGGUUGGGUGCCGCUGCCUGGGCUUUGGCCCAGGCUCGCCCGAAAUGCAUGAGCGCUUAGCACUCGCACCGUCUCGAGGGAAGGCGGCGGAGCUGGCAUCUGCGCAUGGCAUGAUACGUCAUUUGCUGUGUGGCAGCCCAGCGACCCGAGAGUGUGUGUGCGCUACUACACGCCCUUUCAUUUCUGGUCUCAAAUCAGGUAGGAUCACCCGCUGAACUUAAGCAUAUCAAUAAGCGGAGGA
RNAcentral lists this ribosomal RNA (418 nucleotides) under uncultured fungus. RNAcentral's name for it is "eukaryotic LSU rRNA". The stretch from base 1 to 125 matches the Rfam family "5.8S ribosomal RNA", at positions 30 to 154 of the family's 154-position model. The record is from RNAcentral. Lineage: Eukaryota; Fungi.